RNAcentral lists this transfer RNA (56 nucleotides) under Angiostrongylus cantonensis (rat lungworm). RNAcentral describes it as "tRNA-Phe". The record is from RNAcentral. Lineage: Eukaryota; Metazoa; Nematoda; Chromadorea; Rhabditida; Metastrongylidae.
AUUCUUUUAGUUUAAUUAUAAAAUGUGACUUUGAAGAGGUUAAGAUGAAGGGAAUG